GAUCAUGGCUCAGGAUGAACGCUAGCUACAGGCUUAACACAUGCAAGUCGAGGGGCAGCAUGGUCUUAGCUUGCUAAGGCCGAUGGCGACCGGCGCACGGGUGAGUAACGCGUAUCCAACCUGCCCUUGUCCAUCGGAUAACCCGUCGAAAGGCGGCCUAACACGAUAUGCAGUUCUCAGCAGGCAUCUAACGAGAACGAAAUGUAAAGGAGAAGGAUGGGGAUGCGU
This 228-nucleotide ribosomal RNA is filed under the name uncultured bacterium. Its description in RNAcentral is "partial 16S ribosomal RNA". It matches the Rfam family "Bacterial small subunit ribosomal RNA", at positions 15 to 236 of the family's 1533-position model. The record is from RNAcentral.